Molecule: ribosomal RNA, 1414 nt
Filed under: metagenome
Description: bacterial SSU rRNA
Rfam family: Bacterial small subunit ribosomal RNA
Source: RNAcentral
GCAUAGGCAACCUGCCCUGGAGCCCGGAAUAAUUCCCCCAACGGGGUUGUAAUUCCGGAUACGAAUCCCGAUCCCCGGAUUGGGAUUGAAAGGUGGGGAUCCGCUUCGGCGGACCUGUCACUCCUGGAGGGGCCUGUGUCCUAUUAGCUUGUUGGUGGGGUAACGGCCCACCAAGGCGACGAUGGGUAGUCGGCCUGAGAGGGUGGUCGGCCACACUGGGACUGAGACACUGCCCAGACUCCUACGGGAGGCUGCAGUCGAGAAUCUUCGGCAAUGGGCGAAAGCCUGACCGAGCGACGCCGCGUGUGGGAUGAAGGCCUUCGGGUCGUAAACCACUGUCAAAGGGGAUGAAGGGCGCCGGUGUCAAUACCACCGGUGUCACACCUGACAUAACCUUAAAGGAAGCACCGGCUAACUCCGUGCCAGCAGCCGCGGUAACACGGAGGGUGCAAACGUUGUUCGGAUUCACUGGGCUUAAAGGGCACGUAGGCGGCUGGCUCAGUCAGAUGUGAAAGCCCUCGGCUCAACCGAGGAAUGGCAUUUGAUACUGGCCGGCUUGAGUGGAGAAGGGGAGAGCGGAACUUCUGGUGUAGCGGUGAUAUGCGUAGAUAUCAGAAGGAACGCCGGUGGCGAAAGCGGCUCUCUGGUCUCUUACUGACGCUGAGGUGCGAAAGCGUGGGUAGCAAACAGGAUUAGAUACCCUGGUAGUCCACGCCGUAAACUAUGUCAACUAGCCGUCGGGUUCAUUUAAGAAUUUGGUGGCGAAGCUAACGCGAUAAGUUGACCGCCUGGGGAGUACGGCCGCAAGGUUAAAACUCAAAGGAAUUGACGGGGGCCCGCACAAGCGGUGGAGCAUGUGGUUUAAUUCGAUGCAACGCGAAGAACCUUACCAGCCCUUGACAUCCUCGGAACUUUCUAGAGAUAGAUUGGUGCCUUCGGGAACCGAGUGACAGGUGCUGCAUGGCUGUCGUCAGCUCGUGUCGUGAGAUGUUGGGUUAAGUCCCGUAACGAGCGCAACCCUUGUCCUUAGUUGCCAGCACAUAAUGGUGGGAACUCUAAGGAGACUGCCGGUGACAAACCGGAGGAAGGUGGGGAUGACGUCAAGUCAUCAUGGCCCCUAUGGGCUGGGCUACACACGUGCUACAAUGGCCGGUACAGAGGGCUGCAAACCCGCGAGGGGGAGCUAAUCUCACAAAACCGGUCGUAGUCCGGAUCGCAGUCUGCAACUCGACUGCGUGAAGUCGGAAUCGCUAGUAAUCGCAAAUCAGAAUGCUGCGGUGAAUACGUUCCCGGGCCUUGUACACACCGCCCGUCACACCAUGGGAGUGGGUUGCAAAAGAAGUGGGUAGCUUAACCUUCGGGAGGGCGCUCACCACUUUGUGAUUCAUGACUGGGGUGAAGUCGUAACAAGGUA